Molecule: long non-coding RNA, 719 nt
Filed under: Homo sapiens (human)
Lineage: Eukaryota; Metazoa; Chordata; Mammalia; Primates; Hominidae
Description: non-protein coding lnc-MED14-3:2
Source: RNAcentral
GAACAUACAGGUAGGGACACCUCUGUCCAGAGUGUUACUGAGGAAGAAAAUCGACUGUUAAAACAGAAGGUGACUCACGUUGAAGACCUCUAUGCCAAGUGGCAGCUAUACGAUGUCAGCAGGGACGAAUACAUGAGGGGGCUCCAUGCACAGCUCAGGGGGCUGCAGACCCCCCCCCCCCCAUGAGCCCGAGCUGAUGAGGAAGGAGAUCUCCCGGCUCAACAGAUAGUUGGAAGAGAAAAUAAACGACUGUGCAGAAUUGACGUAGAAGCUGGCAGCCUCGAGGACGGCACGGGAUGCUGCACUGGAAUGGGUGCAGAUACUGGAAUAGCAGAUUCUCGCUUACAAGGAUGACUUCAUGUCAGAAAGGGCAGAUCGGGAACAGGCUCAAGGUAGGAUUCAGGAACUGGAGGAAAAGGUCACCUCUUUGCUGCACCAGGUGUCCUGGAGACAGGAUUCUCAAGAGCCAGACGCCGGCUGGAUUCACGCUGGGAGCAAAACUGCCAAGUACUUGGCCACCGAUGCAGUGGAGCUUAUCGUGCCUGGUGGCUGGAGGCCUGGGACUGGGUCCCAGGCGGUUGGAACCCCCUGCAGAGGGCGGGCAUCCUGGCGCAGCCCAGAGAGGCCAGGGGGAACUUCAGUGCCCUCACUGCCUGCAGUGCUUCAGUGACGAACAAGGUGAAGAGCUCCUCAGGCACGUGGCUGAGUGCUGCCAGUGA